UUUUAUGAUAUUAGCUGAUAUCUUAUUGGAUGUUGUAAUAGUUUAUUAGAAUUAAUUAAGAUAUUGGAGGAUGCUAAAACGUCGGGAGUAUAUGUUGGGAUUGCUGACCUUUAGGAUGAUGGCCAACAUUCUCCGCAGUCAUUCUAAUCCAUUUAUAAGGAUGAUCAUAGAGUGCAGUUAGCAAAGCUAAAUGAAUCAAAGGAUAUUAAUAUAUACCAGUGGGGGCUCCUCACCAUGGUUGCAGGUGGGACUUGGUUCAACAACUGAUGUUGGAGCUGAACCAUAAUUUCAUGUCAAGGAAAGUGAGAUUUUCUCAGCUUUCUCUAUUUCUUUUAUCUCAAAGAUUUUUUUAUACGUACAAAGAAAAACUGUAAUUAUAUAACAAAACAGUUCAUAUAGUUCAAGAUUCUUUUUAAAAUUUAAAUUUUCCUUUUGAAUUGUUAAAUGUACAUUAUAGUGGGUCAAUUUAAUUUAGCCCCAAUCUCAUUUCAUGCAUAUGCAUGGCGUUUAUACCUCUAAUAAAACAUUGUAAUUUUCUAAAUAGUUUUUCUUGUUGAAAAAUUAAUUGAUAAAGAAAAAAGCUCCAAAACUACUGUCAUGUUAUGUAGGAAGAAUUCAUUAGUGUCACCACCACACACACAAACUUUGUGAAAUUAGGAAUCUUGGGUUCGUAAGGAGACAUCUAUGUAAUCUGCUUUAGAAUUCCCAAAAAAAAAAAAAAAAAACUUGGGACUUUAAGAACAGAAACCAUACCUUAUGAAGAGAUUCAAAUGUCUAAAGCCAACUAAUUGGGUUAAGAAUGUCAUUUGGCCUAAUUCGAAUAGAAACGAGCAACAAACUAAUGAAUUAAAAUUGGCCGAAGGUUAGUAAAAUCCAUGUUACCGUUCCAAGGUUUGAAAAUAACCUAGGCCAGAUGAGGUUUGCUUGGCCGCAUGAUUGAUUUGUUUAGUAGUCAGAAACGCCCUUCUUAGCCCUAAAAGGGUAACACACAAUACGAAACCAAUAAUAUAUCAUGUUAUGCUUUUGAAGAUCAUUGAGUGUAGUCUGAUGCCUUACAUCCAGAGUAGUCUGAUGCCUCAACAGAGAAGGAAGAAUUAUAACAUAGGAAUAAACUUUUGUUCCAUAAAUUCUUUACCUCCGAAAUACCCCCAUUCCCAUUACUAAAUUGCACCUCCAAAACCCUAAACCGAGUUCUUCGAAAAAACAUGAACCUACCAAUAAGGUUCAUGCUGAUUCCACCAGGUACUGCUUUUCAAGAAGAGCAUGGUAUGCUGCUUGGAACAACAAGUUUCAUCUUUGCUUUCUUAGGUUCUUCCAUCUCACAAACAAAGACAUGGCCAGAAGCGUUCACUGCAUAAAAUUGUCCGUUAUGAUAAGUUAAAUCAGAAUAAAUAUGAUAUGGUUUUCCAAAUGCAUCAUCCACUAUGGUCCAUUCGUGGUCUCCUGGUCUCCAAAACGCAAAUUUGCCCCAACUAUGAAUCAUGACAAUGUAAUCUGAUGUGAAAGAAGCGCUUGAUGAUAAGGUGAAUUUCCUUACAACGAAUUUGCCCAACACUAAUGCUAUAUUUCUUAGUAGAUCUAGAUGAGGAGGAUGAGAUUAUUUAAAUAUCUCAAGAUCCGGAAGCUCAACAUGGGCAUGAUUUAAAGGAUGCAAUAUAUUGAAUUUCAAAUCGUUAUCAGACUGAGUCUUUAGCCAUCCUAGGGAAGAAUAACACAGCUUUUCCUUAGCUAAUGGUGGCAGAUUAAGUUUGUGAAUCUUGCCUUUUUUCAGGUUGUAGAACUCUCGGAUGGUGGCGCUCUCCCUUUUUGGAAGCAUAAGCAAUGGAACUUGAUGUGAUGUUCUAGUAAAGUUUUCCUUGAUUGCGUCUGAUUUCCAUGAUCUACAAACUGUACCAAAAACAGUAAAAUCCUCCAAGACAAACAGAAGUUUGGCAAUGGACACAAGAAGAUGGUGAGGAAGAUUCGACCAUUGAGCCAUCAAGAUAAUAAUCAACUCAAAUAUCAAAUAGGUUUUGUGGGGGAAGAGCGUGCCCGAAAUUAGAAUAAUAGAAAUAAUUAAUUUCUAAAAGAGGACACAAAAAUCUGAGAGGGCAAAGGGCAAAGACUGAAACCAAAUAAAUAGUGUAUUUAUUUGUAAAUCCCAAUCCGAGAGGACAAAAUAAAAAUUGCAUGACAACAAUUGACAAAAAUAAAAAUUUAAGAGCCCGUGAUAACCAUUUCAAUUUUAAUUUUUAGUAUUUAUUUUUGUGCUAGGGUAUAGAGGGAAAUGAGAGUGAGACUGAGAGUGAGGAUGAGAUUGAGAGAGAGGAUGAUAAGGGAGGACGGGAGAGAUGAGUAACAAAAGUGAAAACUUGAAAGUAAAAACAAUUUCAAAUAAAUUUUUUGUUUUUUGCUUUUGUUUUCACUUUUAUUACUCUUCCCUCCCAUCAUUCCCUCUCAUCUUCUAUCUCAAUCUCAUCUUCACUCUCAUUCUCACUUCAGUUGUCUCCAUUUGUCCUCUAUACUCUAGCACAAAAAAUAAAAAAUAAAACAAAAAACUAAAAUUGAAACAGUUAUCAAACGGACCCUUAGGAUAUAACUAUAACUCAAGAAUAAAAAUACAAAGUAAAGCAAACCUUACAAAUGGAACCUCCAAGAGAAAAUAGUCAAAACAAUUUAUAUGCACACAAAUAUAUGAAAUAAAAUAAAAAGAACAAAAAUUAUAGACAUUACCAAGAUUACAUAUACAACACAUGGAAAAAUAUAAAAAAAUACAAGUGAGGCUAAUUCCUUUACUAAGUUCUUCAAUUUGUGGGGCUAUUUCCUUUUUUCUUUGAGUGCAAAAGUCUUCUAUAGCAUCAAUAAGAUUAUAUUUAAUAGAAGUGAAAAAGGAAAAAUAAAAUACAAGUUGGGCUCAUACUAGGUCUGCCAGUGCUUAUGGGUCAAAGUAAAAUGCUUUAUACUUCAAGGGGUCGUUUAGUACGGCGGACUGUCAUAGACUAAACUAAAUCCUGAGACUAUCUUGGAUUAGCUCGAAUUGGCCUAAGCUGGAUUAAGUACUGACCUACGUUUGAUGCUGCAUCGGACUAAGAAACUGGAUUGUAAAAAUAGUGAAGACCUAUGUUUGGUGCUGUGUCGGACUAAAAAAUAAUUAUUGUAAUAAUUAGAUUUAAAACAAUAAUAAAAUAAAUAAAUAAAAAAAACUAAAAUUCUGAUAUUUUUAAAGGCUAAAAUUAUGUUAAACAAAAAAUAAAAAAACAAUAGAUUCAGACCCAACCCAACCUCCUCAUUUAGUUUAUCUUUUUUUUUUUCUCUCUAUUUUCUUUUUCUUUAAUCAGAAACCCAACCUCCCCAUUCUUUUUAUCUUUUUUUUUUCUUUAACAAGAAACCUCCCUCACUCUCACUCUCUCUCUUUGCCCGCCCCCGCCCCCCCCCCCCCCCUCUUUUUUUUUCUUUCUCUCUAUUUGUUAUCUUUAUUCAACAACCUCACUCAUUCUGUCUUUCUCCCAUCACAACUCACUUUUGGAAAAACCUAAAGGAGAGAGAAAUUUUUGCAAAGAAGCCAAAAUGGACAAAAUUGCCCUUAUUUAUUUUUGAAUUUCCUAAGGAAUCCUUUACAUUUGCAUGUCUUUGAUUGAAAGUUGAGAGGUUUUUCUGUCUUUUUUGAAAAAGCUUUGGCUUUUUCCAAAAGUGAAAAAAAAUUUGUGGCUAAAACCUAAAUUUACUUUUUCUCUCUCUCUCUCUCUCUUUAAUCAUAAACCUCCCUGAUUCUCUCUCUCAUUCCCAUCGGAACCCACCUCCACAUCCCCUUUUUCCCCAAUUCUUCUUCUCCCCCUUUGACUCCUUUGUAUUCAAUUGAGAAAGCCUUAGGCAAAGGCUUCAGCAAAUGCAUUUUCCACACACGUCCUCUUCGAUCUUGUCCAGCCAAGAUUUGGGUUUGUUUGGUUGUAGAAAUUAGGUAAACUCAUGGUGGUGGUCUGACAGGUUGAUUGUGGUAGGGGGGUUUUGAUUCAAGCCAAGGAUCUGACUUCAGUGAAUAUGGUUGAUUGAAAACACAAAUCAAGAAAAUCCAAUUCUAGCUUAAGAAGAAGAAGAAACGGGUUUAGUUCGGACUUGUGGGUUCAAUCUAGCGAGGGCACUAUAUUGCGAACUACUUUUUAACCUCGCUAAAUUAGAGGAGCGAACGAGGGGUUUUGUUUACUGUUGGACAAUAUAGUCUCAUUUAAGUUAGUCCCUUAUCUUACCAAACAUGGGUUUCAAGUGCUAUUUAAGUUAGUCCAGUCCAGUGAGGCUUGCCAAACACAGCCCAAAGGCAUUGUGACAAUUCUAAAUCCAAUGUAUCACAACACUUAUGUGAUUGUCGUUUAAUGCAAAACUCAUUUUCUUCGUUAAAUACAUAAAAUGUUUUUUUUUUUUUUUAAUGUCAAAGACAUACGAUGUACAUUGAGCAUUGGUAUAAACAUGACAAGUACUAUACUACUAGCUCUCCUGCUUUCAUGUUUAUAUUAGCUAAUAUCUUAUAGGAUAUUGUAUUAGUUUAUUAGAAUUAAUUAAGAUAUUGGAGGAUGCUAAAACGUUGGGAGUAUAUGUUGGGAUUGCUGACCUUAAGGAUGAUAGCCAACAUUCUCCGUAAUCGUUCUAAUCCAUUUAUAAGGAUGAUUAUGGAGAUGGCAUUUGUAAGUUAUUCUAGAUUGUGCGCGG
This 4680-nucleotide long non-coding RNA is filed under the name Prunus persica (peach). Its description in RNAcentral is "long non-coding RNA (PPER_LNC004237)". The record is from RNAcentral. Lineage: Eukaryota; Viridiplantae; Streptophyta; Magnoliopsida; Rosales; Rosaceae.